UUUCUUGCGUUCUUCAUUGCCAGUGUUGGGGAUCGGGAGCGCUAGCUGUGUUCUCCCAUUUCCUCUUUCUUCCAGAAGAUUCAUCCAGGCCAUAUAAGCCCACAUUGUCUCUCCCUUUCUUGCGUUGCGAGGAAAGGGCUGGUGCUUUGUCAAUGUUGCAUUAGUUCGCCACAAGAGGAACCUCCGAUCAUGGCAAUGAGGAACAGAGGCGGGAGGCAAAUAAUCCGGAUUCUUUGCCUCCCCCAUUGUUCCUCACUCCCAGCCUUGGACUGCUCCUUGGUCUUGGUCGAAUUUCUUCUCCUUCUCACUAGGCGCAUCCCAGCGCGCAAGACUCAAUCGCCAAAGCCCCUGUUCUUGGGCUCAUGUGAGAUUGGCUGAUCAAAAACGAGAAGCGUCGAGUGUGUAAGCUCUUUUUCUUGUUUUCAAUCCGAUGUUUGCCUUUUU
RNAcentral lists this long non-coding RNA (444 nucleotides) under Selaginella moellendorffii. Its description in RNAcentral is "long non-coding RNA (SMOE_LNC000147)". Lineage: Eukaryota; Viridiplantae; Streptophyta; Lycopodiopsida; Selaginellales; Selaginellaceae. The record is from RNAcentral.